UGUUUCGGCUAGGGGGUCAUCCCGACUUACCAACCCGAUGCAAACUACGAAUACCGAAGAAUGUUAUCACGGGAGACACACGGCGGGUGCUAACGUCCGUCGUGAAGAGGGAAACAACCCAGACCGCCAGCUAAGGUCCCAAAGUCAUGGUUAAGUGGGAAACGAUGUGGGAAGGCACAGACAGCCAGGAUGUUGGCUUAGAAGCAGCCAUCAUUUAAAGAAAGCGUAAUAGCUCACUGGUCGAGUCGGCCUGCGCGGAAGAUGUAACGGGGCUAAACCAUGCACCGAAGCUGCGGCAGCGACACUAUGUGUUGUUGGGUAGGGGAGCGUUCUGUAAGCCUGCGAAGGUGUGCUGUGAGGC
This 361-nucleotide ribosomal RNA is filed under the name Klebsiella pneumoniae. Its description in RNAcentral is "partial 23S ribosomal RNA". It matches the Rfam family "Bacterial large subunit ribosomal RNA", at positions 911 to 1269 of the family's 2925-position model. RNAcentral also lists the same sequence under 1 other name. Lineage: Bacteria; Pseudomonadati; Pseudomonadota; Gammaproteobacteria; Enterobacterales; Enterobacteriaceae. The record is from RNAcentral.